Molecule: ribosomal RNA, 445 nt
Filed under: uncultured bacterium
Lineage: Bacteria
Description: partial 16S ribosomal RNA
Rfam family: Bacterial small subunit ribosomal RNA
Source: RNAcentral
GUGAGGAAUAUUGGUCAAUGGGCGAGAGCCUGAACCAGCCAAGUCGCGUGAAGGAAGAAGGAUCUAUGGUUCGUAAACUUCUUUUGCAGGGGAAUAAAGUGCAGGACGUGUCCUGUUUUGUAUGUACCCUGAGAAUAAGGAUCGGCUAACUCCGUGCCAGCAGCCGCGGUAAUACGGAGGAUCCGAGCGUUAUCCGGAUUUAUUGGGUUUAAAGGGUGCGUAGGUGGUUUGAUAAGUCAGCGGUGAAAGUUUGCAGCUUAACUGUAAAAAUGCCGUUGAAACUGUCGGACUUGAGUGUAAAUGAGGUAGGCGGAAUGCGUGGUGUAGCGGUGAAAUGCAUAGAUAUCACGCAGAACGCCGAUUGCGAAGGCAGCUUACUAAGCUACAACUGACACUGAAGCACGAAAGCGUGGGGAUCAAACAGGAUUAGAAACCCCGGUAGUCC